RNAcentral lists this ribosomal RNA (253 nucleotides) under uncultured bacterium. RNAcentral's name for it is "partial 16S ribosomal RNA". It matches the Rfam family "Bacterial small subunit ribosomal RNA", at positions 524 to 776 of the family's 1533-position model. The record is from RNAcentral.
UACAGAGGUCCCAAGCGUUGUUCGGAUUCACUGGGCGUAAAGGGUGCGUAGGCGGUCGGGUAAGUCUGAUGUGAAAUCUCACAGCUUAACUGUGAAACUGCAUUGGAUACUAUCCGGCUAGAGGAAUGGAGGGGAGACUGGAAUACUUGGUGUAGCAGUGAAAUGCGUAGAUAUCAGGAGGAACACCUGUGGCGAAAGCGGCUCACUGGACCAUAACUGACGCUGAUGCACGAAAGCUAGGGGAGCAAACAGG